UAGAUACCCUACUACACUAAGAGGUAACAACAAUAGCUUAAUUAUUUAUAGUUAUGUUCUUGAAAUUUGAAGAAUUUGGCGGUGAUUUAGUCUUGUCAGAGGAAUUUGUUUUUUAAUCGAUAAACCACGUAGAAUCUUGCUCGUUUUUGUUUUCAGUUUAUAUACCGUCAUUAGCAGAUAAUCUUAUUAGAGAGAAUAAUUAUUAAACUUUAUAGGUAGUUAAAAUUAGAUCAAGGUGUAGCUAAUAAAUGAGUUAAAAUGGAUUACAAUGAAUUUUAUUUAUACGGAUUUGUGAAUGAAAAUUGACAUUAAAGGUGGAUUUGAUUGUAAUGUUGGUUUAAUAAGCUUAAAAGAUAUAGGUUCUAAAUCAUGUACAUAUUGCCCGUCGCUCGCGGGAAAAA
RNAcentral lists this ribosomal RNA (401 nucleotides) under Pilumnidae sp. 3 KYKC-2019. Its description in RNAcentral is "partial small subunit ribosomal RNA". Lineage: Eukaryota; Metazoa; Arthropoda; Malacostraca; Decapoda; Pilumnidae. The record is from RNAcentral.